This 874-nucleotide long non-coding RNA is filed under the name Junco hyemalis (dark-eyed junco). Its description in RNAcentral is "lncRNA (ENSJHYG00000018047.1)". Lineage: Eukaryota; Metazoa; Chordata; Aves; Passeriformes; Passerellidae. The record is from RNAcentral.
UGGUUUUGUCAUAAGGCUCGUGCUAUUUUGUGAAUUCUCGCCGGAUCAUCAGUGAAUAUCACUAUCUUCAGCUUCUGUUUACUGCAGCUUCUGAAUAUUGUAAAUUUUACAGGCUUAAAAGGAUGAUGCCAGAGGCUCUCAGCGUCUGGACUUGGUUAAAAUUUGUGGUGCAGAGAAAAGAGGAAGGAGGUGGAGUGGAAAUGAAGAUCUCCAUCUGAGCAGUGCCCUUCAUCUCCUGUGCCACCAUGAGGAACAGUCUCUUCAGACAACUAGCCUCAACAAGUAUGCCAAGACUAUUUAGGUGGUGAAAUAUUUGGAAUAAGAUUUGAGGUUGGUGCAUUCUUCCACCCUGCCGGAUGAACAGAGUGGUCCAGCAGCCUUGAGGGGAAGCACACGAAAUGUGACGUCUUUCCUGGAUCCUCUUUGUUCUCAGGAUGUCUGGAUGGGUGCCUCAUCCUACAGACUCAGCAAUUGCUUCAGAGGUUUGCUACUGUGAGACUAUGCUGGAAGUGAUCCAGAAGAGCAGUACAGGGCAUACUGGAGAAGCCACAGAUGCCUGUACUUCCCAUUGCAGGCAGAAGAAAAAUUCCUCUUCUGCCCUUGCUACUGAGGUUCCCAGAGCAUGAGUAGUGCAUUCUCUUGCCAGUGAAAUAUGGUCAGAAGAGGCACAGACAUCUGCAGAUGAAAGCUCCAAAUAUGAAGAGGGAAAAUCUGACCUAAGUUUUGAGAAGAAAUGCACUUGUCCCUGCUGUUUCACCCACUGUUGUGUUUAUCAGAGUGGAGCAUGCCCAGAGCCUGUGGGAAAGCCCCUGGCAGCCCCAGGCAGCACCAGCACGGGUGCAGGAGCUGUGGCUGGCUUCUUGGCUGGGCUCUG